Long non-coding RNA from Equus quagga, 827 nucleotides. RefSeq lists it as uncharacterized. Lineage: Eukaryota; Metazoa; Chordata; Mammalia; Perissodactyla; Equidae. The transcript is spliced from 3 exons. The record is from RefSeq and is a predicted model, not a curated record.
ACCGGCACUGCUGAGGAAGCAGCGUCUCAGCCCCUAUCCAGGGUGAUGUCCUGCGUACCACUAUUCUAACAAGCGGGCCCCUCGACGGCAGAACGUUGCCUAUCGUACUUGCUCUCUGGUACCUCCCCUUUGUGAAGGAGUCACGCGAGAGGCUACUGAACGCACACCACACGCCCACUGGACUACGGGGUGGGACCUGAAACCGGAUCACCAAAGAAACCAGGGUCGGCUCUCUGGAGGAAGGUUUAACUUGAGCCUAGACCGGUUCCGACUCCUUUCCCGAGCCCUCCCGACGUCACGGGACGUUCUGGGCUUUUCCUGAACUAGCACUGGACUACGUGUCCCGGCAUGCGUUGCGUGCUGCCACUCAACGAAUGCGAGGCAUGCUGGGACUUGUAGUCUUGGAGCCACUGCCUAGACCAUCACUGUGGAUUGCAGCUGACGUGACCCUCUGGCUACUGACCGUCCAGCACAGCUUACCGUGCCCAGCGCCUAUGACCAUCUGUGAUAUCCACUCUUAUGGAUGUUCUGGUUUUUCUUCUUCAAAGCGGUCCAAGAAUCCUGUGAUAUUCUUAUAAAUCUUCCCCAUCUUUUACUCCACUUGGCUCCCUUGAAGAAGGCGUUAUCAUUCCUGUUGGGUCUACUCUUAGGAGACGCCUGUGAGGGGAGGGGCUAGGCAUAGACUCAGGCCGACAUGGUCCAUGUCUGGUGCUCUGUUCUUUUUUUUUUUUUUUUUGAGGAAGAUUAGCCCUGAGCUAACUGCUGCCUAUCCUCCUCUGUCUGCUAAGGAAGACCGGCCCUGAGCUAACAUCCAUGCCCAUCUUCCU